Molecule: ribosomal RNA, 253 nt
Filed under: uncultured bacterium
Lineage: Bacteria
Description: partial 16S ribosomal RNA
Rfam family: Bacterial small subunit ribosomal RNA
Source: RNAcentral
UACGUAGGGUGCAAGCGUUGUCCGGAAUUAUUGGGCGUAAAGAGCUCGUAGGCGGUUCGUCGCGUCGGCUGUGAAAUCCCGAGGCUCAACCUCGGGUCUGCAGUCGAUACGGGCGGACUGGAGUUCGGCAGGGGAGACUGGAAUUCCUGGUGUAGCGGUGAAAUGCGUAGAGAUCCGGAAGAACACCGGUGGCGAAGGCGGUCUGCUGGGCCAGUACUGACGCUGAGGCGCGACAGCGUGGGGAGCAAACAGG